This 427-nucleotide ribosomal RNA is filed under the name uncultured bacterium. Its description in RNAcentral is "partial 16S ribosomal RNA". It matches the Rfam family "Bacterial small subunit ribosomal RNA", at positions 355 to 774 of the family's 1533-position model. The record is from RNAcentral.
UGGGGAAUAUUGCACAAUGGGCGCAAGCCUGAUGCAGCCAUGCCGCGUGUGUGAAGAAGGCCUUCGGGUUGUAAAGCACUUUCAGCGAGGAGGAAGGCGUUAAGGUUAAUAACCUUAGUGAUUGACGUUACUCGCAGAAGAAGCACCGGCUAACUCCGUGCCAGCAGCCGCGGUAAUACGGAGGGUGCAAGCGUUAAUCGGAAUUACUGGGCGUAAAGCGCACGCAGGCGGUUUGUUAAGCCAGAUGUGAAAUCCCCGAGCUUAACUUGGGAACUGCAUUUGAAACUGGCAAGCUAGAGUCUUGUAGAGGGGGGUAGAAUUCCAGGUGUAGCGGUGAAAUGCGUAGAGAUCUGGAGGAAUACCGGUGGCGAAGGCGGCCCCCUGGACAAAGACUGACGCUCAGGUGCGAAAGCGUGGGGAGCAAACA